CCAGAGAAUUUAGCAGAGAUGCUUUAGUGCCUCGGGAACNCUGAGACAGGUGCUGCAUGGCUGUCGUCAGCUCGUGUUGUGAAAUGUUGGUUAAGUCCCGCAACGAGCGCAACCCCUAUCCUUUGUUGCCAGCGAUUCGGUCGGGAACUCAAAGGAGACUGCCGGUGAUAAACCGGAGGAAGGUGGGGAUGACGUCAAGUCAUCAUGGCCCUUACGAGUAGGGCUACACACGUGCUACAAUGGCGCAUACAAAGAGAAGCGACCUCGCGAGAGCAAGCGGACCUCAUAAAGUGCGUCGUAGUCCGGAUUGGAGUCUGCAACUCGACUCCAUGAAGUCGGAAUCGCUAGUAAUCGUAGAUCAGAAUGCUACGGUGAAUACGUUCCCGGGCCUUGUACACACCGCCCGUCACACCAUGGGAGUGGGUUGCAAAAGAAGUAGAUAGCUUAACCUUCGGGAGGGCGUUUACCACUUUGUGAUUCAUGACUGGGGUGAAGUCGUAACAAGGUAAGCGUAGCGAG
This 519-nucleotide ribosomal RNA is filed under the name uncultured bacterium. Its description in RNAcentral is "bacterial SSU rRNA". It matches the Rfam family "Bacterial small subunit ribosomal RNA", at positions 988 to 1509 of the family's 1533-position model. The record is from RNAcentral.